RNAcentral lists this long non-coding RNA (458 nucleotides) under Gossypium raimondii (Peruvian cotton). RNAcentral's name for it is "long non-coding RNA (GRAI_LNC005530)". Lineage: Eukaryota; Viridiplantae; Streptophyta; Magnoliopsida; Malvales; Malvaceae. The record is from RNAcentral.
UCACUCUCAGUCAAAAAAAAUAAUGGAAGAUAGAAAUCUCAAGCAGUAAGAGAAAAAUAUUCGAUCAAUGAAGAAGAUGAGAAGAGCGGAGAGGUUCGGCUAGCAAAGAAGAGAAGAGGGGAAAGGAAAGAGAAAUUCAGCCACAAGAAGAGAAAACUAAAAGAAAGAAGAAAAGAAAAGAUGAGGGAGAAGAGUAUAUUCAGCCAAAAAAAAAGAAAAAUAGGUAAAAAAGAAAAGAGCAAUCAAAAGAAAACGAACCCGAGAUGUAACUUCCAGAACUAGGCAAAAUUUGGCACCAAAACUAAAACAUGAAACCCGAAACUCACCAAAAUCACAGCAAACUAAGAGAGAAACUCAAAAAAAGACCAAAACCGAAAACCUCUACUGUUAAGUGAUUAAAUUCGGCACAAACACCCUCCCCCAGCCAAAUUCUCCAUGCCUCAAUUACCCCAAACGGC